UACUGUUUUGCGGAAGAGAUCGGGUUUAUCCCGGCGCCGAAGGAGCAACCGCCCCGGAAACUCUCAGGCACCAAGGACCGCAAGGCUUCU
Molecule: non-coding RNA, 90 nt
Filed under: Candidatus Filomicrobium marinum
Lineage: Bacteria; Pseudomonadati; Pseudomonadota; Alphaproteobacteria; Hyphomicrobiales; Hyphomicrobiaceae
Also listed under: 1 other name
Description: Glycine riboswitch aptamer
Rfam family: Glycine riboswitch aptamer
About the family: This family represents the bacterial glycine riboswitch. Glycine riboswitches usually consist of two metabolite-binding aptamers domains with similar structures in tandem.
Source: Rfam by way of RNAcentral